This 460-nucleotide ribosomal RNA is filed under the name uncultured bacterium. RNAcentral's name for it is "partial 16S ribosomal RNA". It matches the Rfam family "Bacterial small subunit ribosomal RNA", at positions 338 to 795 of the family's 1533-position model. The record is from RNAcentral.
CCUACGGGGGGCUGCAGUGAGGAAUAUUGGUCAAUGGGCGGAAGCCUGAACCAGCCAAGUAGCGUGCAGGAUGACGGCCCUACGGGUUGUAAACUGCUUUUAUAAAGGAAUAAAGUGAGGCACGUGUGCCUUUUUGUAUGUACUUUAUGAAUAAGGAUCGGCUAACUCCGUGCCAGCAGCCGCGGUAAUACGGAGGAUCCGAGCGUUAUCCGGAUUUAUUGGGUUUAAAGGGAGCGUAGAUGGGUUGUUAAGUCAGUUGUGAAAGUUUGCGGCUCAACCGUAAAAUUGCAAUUGAUACUGGCAGCCUUGAGUACAGUUGAGGUAGGCGGAAUUCGUGGUGUAGCGGUGAAAUGCUUAGAUAUCACGAAGAACUCCGAUUGCGAAGGCAGCUUACUAAACUGCCACUGACAUUGAUGCUCGAAAGUGUGGGUAUCAAACAGGAUUAGAUACCCGAGUAGUC